RNAcentral lists this transfer RNA (72 nucleotides) under Avocettina infans (avocet snipe-eel). Its description in RNAcentral is "tRNA-Trp". It matches the Rfam family "tRNA". Rfam says of the family: Transfer RNA (tRNA) molecules are approximately 80 nucleotides in length. Their secondary structure includes four short double-helical elements and three loops (D, anti-codon, and T loops). Lineage: Eukaryota; Metazoa; Chordata; Actinopteri; Anguilliformes; Nemichthyidae. RNAcentral also lists the same sequence under 1 other name. The record is from RNAcentral.
AGAGACUUAGGAUAACCGCUAGACCAAAAGCCUUCAAAGCUUUAAGUAGGAGUGAAAAUCUCCUAGUUUCUG